AAGUCGUAACAAGGUCUCCGUUGGUGAACCAGCGGAGGGAUCAUUACUGAGUACUACACUCUCUACCCUUUGUGAACUAUUAUACCUGUUGCUUCGGCGGCGCCCGCAAGGGUGCCCGCCGGUCUCAUCAGAAUCUCUGUUUUCGAACCCGACGAUACUUCUGAGUGUUCUUAGCGAACUGUCAAACUUUUAACAACGGAUCUCUUGGCUCCAGCAUCGAUGAAGAACGCAGCGAAACGCGAUAUGUAAUGUGAAUUGCAGAAUUCAGUGAAUCAUCGAAUCUUUGAACGCACAUGGCGCCUUCCAGUAUCCUGGGAGGCAUGCCUGUCCGAGCGUCGUUUCAACCCUCGAGCCCCUGUGGCCCGGCGUUGGGGAUCUGCCACGGCAGGCCCCUAAAACCAGUGGCGGACCCGAAGGGCCCUCUCCUUUGCGCAGUAGCAUUCGCCUCGCAUCGGGAGUCCUCGGCGUCCUGCCUCUAAACCCCCACAAGCCCGCUUCGGCGGCACCAAGGUUGACCUCGGAUCAGGUAGGAAUACCCGCUGAACUUAA
Molecule: ribosomal RNA, 549 nt
Filed under: uncultured fungus
Lineage: Eukaryota; Fungi
Description: eukaryotic LSU rRNA
Rfam family: 5.8S ribosomal RNA (bases 185-338)
Source: RNAcentral